CAUAACGACUCUCGGCAACGGAUAUCUCGGCUCUCGCAUCGAUGAAGAACGUAGCAAAAUGCGAUACCUGGUGUGAAUUGCAGAAUCCCGCGAACCAUCGAGUUUUUGAACGCAAGUUGCGCCCGAGGCCUUCUGGCCGAGGGCACGUCUGCCUGGGCGUCACGC
This 165-nucleotide ribosomal RNA is filed under the name Orthoclada laxa. Its description in RNAcentral is "5.8S ribosomal RNA". It matches the Rfam family "5.8S ribosomal RNA". From Rfam's summary of the family: 5.8S ribosomal RNA (5.8S rRNA) is a component of the large subunit of the eukaryotic ribosome. It is transcribed by RNA polymerase I as part of the 45S precursor that also contains 18S and 28S rRNA. The record is from RNAcentral. Lineage: Eukaryota; Viridiplantae; Streptophyta; Magnoliopsida; Poales; Poaceae.